This is a long non-coding RNA of Pseudomyrmex gracilis, 3722 nucleotides long. RefSeq lists it as uncharacterized. The transcript has 4 exons. The record is from RefSeq and is a predicted model, not a curated record. Lineage: Eukaryota; Metazoa; Arthropoda; Insecta; Hymenoptera; Formicidae.
CCAGCAACAACACGCGGAUGCCGACGGACACUCUUCCCUUGACCUGUGUCGUUGUCAUCCGUUGCGUAUAAUAACAACAGUCUCGUUGUCAUCGACGUAUUCGUGUUGAGGUGCUACAUCGGUCGAUGACGCGCGUAUACGUUUAUACCGAUUUAUUCACGCGCGAAAAGAAAGCAAAAAACAACACAUGUGUGGAGAGCGCUCACACAUCGACAGCGCAGCGCGCCGCUUUGCGAGCAGAAAAUUUGAUAACGACUUUCUUUUAUCCAUCGGCCGCUGUUUUUUCCGCACUUGCACGUCGUCAUCUUGAUGGAAAAUUAUGUUUCAAAUAAUAUCCAGCGCUGCGUGCGUGUGUGUGUGUGUAUGUGUGCGCGUGUGUCUGAUUUUCUUUGUUCUUUGACGAAUUCAACGUUUUACGUACUUUUUUGGGCGACUCCCCGAAAACGCGUACGGAUUCAAAUGUGUACGAAUCGCAGCAUUGGGAAAAGAAAAGAAACCAGAAAAAUAUUGCGACCAACCUGGGCCGUCGUAUUCAGGGGAGGUCGAGAGGUCGCGUUUGUUCCUACAUAUUUAAAUAACUCCUCGUCGCGACGUCCAUUUCGUCUCCACGCGUUCCUGAAUUAUUUUCCUCGUUUUUUUGCUGCUCUUCUGUCGCCGACAUCGGAUCCUUCUGCGAGCGGUUACGUAAAAAUCCAAGUUGGGGUAUUAUCAAGCCGGUAUCUUCUGUAUCUCAAAAAGAAAAAUAUUUUCGAGAGAGAAAAAAAACAGCUGUGGUCUGCUAGUGAAACGAAACAGACAUUUUCACGUCUCGAUGGUUCAUCUCGCUAAUAUUUUCGCGAGGAAACUUGCGGUUAUCGUGUUUUCCUAUAAAUCGACGUUUAGCGCCUAUCCACCUCCUCCGUAGGCCACUUCGACCUGUCGAGUCUUCGGCGAUAAAUUUCGUCGAAGUGCUCGGCGUAUACACGCGCGAAUACGUACCAUUCGUUACACACUGUUUUACGCACUAUCGACGGAAUAUCCUGACAUUGAAUUAUUUUAAUUGAAAAAAUUUAUUAUUUUUCAAAAAUACUUAUUUCUCAUUUUUACCGCGUUUGGUAUUGCAAAUCGCGUCGAGGCGCUCUUUUAAGCUUGAAAAUUUGUGCAGUUAUAAUCGAUUUGCAAUACCUAUAUAUCGAACGCGGCUAUUAAACAGAAAGAAAGAGGGAGGAAAGCGAGAGAGGAAAGAGACACAACACAAUAUCAAGACUCUAAUUUAUAUUUAAUAUUUAAUAUAUUUAUUUUAUAUAUUUAUUUUAUAUUUAAUGUAGUUCUAUUUUUAUUCAGACACUUUGGACACAAAUAUCUUUACAUCAUCAGUUGGAUUUCUUUUGUACGUCUCGUUGCAUCUUAGUCUGUAAUAAUAAAUAUUCAUGAUUAAAAUUGUAUAUGUGUGUGUGUGUGCACAAUACGUGUGUAUAUCGCGACAACUUCAACAGAAGAGACACGAUUAACAAACGAGGCGUGCAUAAAUCUUUUUGACGAGGCACGUAUUCUGCCUUACGUGUCAGCGUUCACACAACGUAUCAGUUUUAUCGAAAUUUCAUUUUCACCCUUACACGUAAUCGCGGGCAUCGUCAUUCUUGUCAUCGAGAGCUCGCCCUGGAAACGCGAGAUGAAAUUUCUUGAGAAAUUCCCGAAAAAAUGUGCCUGCCAUCGCAAAUCGAAAAUGUUCUCUCUCGAACAUCUUAGGAGAACUUGGUCGUUUUAGUUUGUCUCAUUUCCACUGUUACAACAGUUAACACGAAAUUUAAACAAAAAUAUGAACAACCCGAUGGUGCGCUUUUUUGCAACAGCUAUAUCGCUUCCUGAGAAAGAAGAACGGCUCUUUGAUAUAUUCGACAGAGAGAAGAUUGAGUUAAGUGAGUUAAAGGCGUUAACAUAACGCGGGAAAUACUGUAGGAUAAUUAAUGAUGAUAAGGAAACGUCAAUUAGAUAUGUCGAAAUAUAUAUGUAUGUUCUUACUUGUCGGUUAGAGUGUGCCAGAGAUGGUCUAACUAAGAUGCAUGCGCUACAACAAAUUUGCCGACUGUUUUAAUCCACUUAAGAAGCGUCAGAGUUGAUAAAGGGAAACAGGAUAUAUAAUAAUCAAAGAUUGACUAUCUAGAGAAAAAUGCGCUAUUUUCUGGUUGGCCAAAACUCGUGUGAAGACCUCGGAAUCCAUUUUCUUGUUACAACCUUAACUGUUUAAUUGUUUUAAUCACACACUGUCGGAGCUUUCAAUUUUACGAAAGACAAAACUGUAAUUUUUUAAUAUUAAAUUAACACUCGAAAGUAGAAAAAAAUGAAAAAUAAAUAAAAAUGGUUUUUAUUCAAUCCUAUAUAAAUUUCGACAGAAUUCCACAAUAUAUAAAAGAAAUCAUAAAGAUGUGUUCCUUAAAUGCAGAAGAUACAAAAAGAAAAUGAAUGUAUUUCUCUCUUUCUCCCUCUCUCUCUCUUUUCUGAAGUUUCUUCAAGAAACAGUCCUGACAAAAUGUGUUAAAGAAGCUUUCAAAAGGAAACAUCUCGUGUUUUCGGGAGAUACUGUAUAGCGCGCGCAUGUCAGUAAUCUUCUUUGCAGACGAAGCAGCAAAUAGAGCAACAAGUGUGAUAUCGAAGUUGAAAGUCGGUCGGCGUUAGUGGAGUAAAUGUAAUAUUCCUCUUUACGAGAUCUGUGCGAGUUUUUGAUGUUUCUCGUAUAUUUGAGGCACCACUUUUUUCUGGUAAAAGAGAGAAAAAGAGAGAGAAAGAAAGAAAGAGAGAAAGAGAGAGAGAAAAAGAGAGAGAGAAAAAGAGAGAGAGCUCACGAUCACAAAUUCAGAGAGAAAUCUCCCUCUCGAAGAACAUUCUAAAAGUAUAACGAUUUGAAGUGAUAAAUCUAUCUACUCGAUUAAAUAAAUUUUUUAUAUCAUCAGCAGAAACCGAACUUUAAUAUUGCGAUGAUAGAAUUCAACUUGGUCUCAUCGAAUGAUUAAAUUUAUAAAUACGAACAAUAAAAAUAUGUAUUUCUUGCACACAUAUAAUUAAAAAUGUUUUUUUUUUUUUUACGCUGCGUGAAAAUUCUGAUAAGAAGUAUAAAACGUGUGUUGACUUCAAAAAAAUUACUUCUACGUUAUCUGGAUGCAAAAAGAUGCUUCAUAAUUAUACGCAAAAAUCUUUGUUUAUUCUAUAAAUUUUAACUUGACAAACCGUCUCACAUUUUGAGCCUUUAAUCCGGAUUUUGAUCUUGGAAACUACAGAUCUUUAUCUCUCGUCGUCUCGACGCGGAAUAAACCACGGGAAUUCGGACCAACCAGUGAGCGGCUCGAAACGAACGCCCAGCGGGGUUAACGGGAGCUAAUCACGAUUUAAUAUUAAUUAGUCAAUUAACGGGUUGCCACCCCCGCGAGGCGCGCGACGCCGCGUGGUUCUAUCAGGGGCGUAAGAACAGGCGCUUGUUCGAGCGUUAGUGAUGUAAAAAAGUCAAAACACAAUGAUUAUUUUACCAGAAGAGAAAUAAGUUAACAAGAAAGGCCGAUUAUAUGACAAUAUACUGAGUGAGUGCAAAACUUUUUUGAUGGGUUUCUCAAAAAUGUCGCGUGACUCCGAUCCACUUUUAUGGCAGCAAAUAUAAAGAUAUGUCAUACCGUUGAAAAGGUCAUACUUUUAGCUUUCAUUAUAUAUAUCUACACAACAAAUCGUUUUUAAUAAAAUUACUUGGUCCAUUU